Molecule: ribosomal RNA, 518 nt
Filed under: uncultured bacterium
Lineage: Bacteria
Description: bacterial SSU rRNA
Rfam family: Bacterial small subunit ribosomal RNA
Source: RNAcentral
GGACGAACGCUGGCGGCGUGCCUAAUACAUGCAAGUCGAACGGUCUUUCUAUGGAAGCUUGCUUCCACUGAGAAGAUAGUGGCGAACGGGUGAGUAACACGUGGGUAACCUGCCCAUAAGAGGGGGAUAACAUCCGGAAACGGGUGCUAAUACCGCAUAGUUUUCUUGAUCGCAUGAUUGAGAAAGGAAAGACGGCCUUUGUGCUGUCGCUUAUGGAUGGACCCGCGGCGUAUUAGUUAGUUGGUGAGGUAACGGCUCACCAAGACGAUGAUACGUAGCCGACCUGAGAGGGUGAUCGGCCACAUUGGGACUGAGACACGGCCCAAACUCCUACGGGAGGCAGCAGUAGGGAAUCUUCCGCAAUGGACGAAAGUCUGACGGAGCAACGCCGCGUGAGUGAAGAAAGGUUUUCGGAUCGUAAAACUCUGUUGUCAGAGAAGAACAAGUUGGAGAGUAACUGCUCCAGCCUUGACGGUAUCUGACCAGAAAGCCACGGCUAACUACGUGCCAGCCGCGGC